Molecule: ribosomal RNA, 1800 nt
Filed under: Kudoa trachuri
Lineage: Eukaryota; Metazoa; Cnidaria; Myxozoa; Multivalvulida; Kudoidae
Description: SSU rRNA
Rfam family: Eukaryotic small subunit ribosomal RNA
Source: RNAcentral
GGUCAUAUGCUUGUCUCAAAGAUUAAGCCAUGCAAGUCUAAGUUCACAUCAUAUCAAGAUGAAACUGCGAAGCGCUCAGUAAAUCAGUUAUUGUCUCUUCGGUCUUAUCAGCCAUGGAUAACUGUGGUAAAUCUAGAGCUAAUACAUAGCAAAUCUUUGAUAUUAUUUGAAAGAAUAGUAUUAAAGAGCAUUUAUUAGAGUUCUAACCAACUUUGGACAUGUUAUAUAGUUAACCCUAUAUACAUGUUUCAAAUAUUGAUGAAUCAUAAUAACUGUGCAUAUCGAACAUUUAGUUGUCGAUAGUCCGAUCGAGUUUCUGCCCUAUCAACUAGUUGGUGAGGUAUUGGCUCACCAAGGUGGUGACGGGUAACGGGGGAUCAGGGUUCGAUUCCGGAGAGGGAGCCUGAGAAACGGCUACCACAUCUAAGGAAGGCAGCAGGCGCGCAAAUUACCCAAUCCAGACUUUGGGAGGUAGUGACGAGAAAUACCGGAGUAGAUCAUCUAAUGAUUCACUAUCGGAAUGAACGUAAUCUAAUACCUUCGAUGAGUAGCUACUGGAGGGCAAGUCUGGUGCCAGCAGCCGCGGUAAUUCCAGCUCCAGUAGUGUAUAUCAAAAUUGUUGCGGUUAAAGCGCUCGUAGUUGGAUUACAAAAGCUCUAAAAUAAUCAAGUCCUAUUAUUUAAUAAAUGGUUUGAUUGUUAUGGGGUUUUUUUCUUGUGAGAUCCAUAUGUGAGAUUAAAUUCUUGUGUAUGGUCACUUGCAAAAUGUGCCUUGAAUAAAGCACAGUGCUCAAAGCAGGCUUAUAAGCUUGAAUGUAAUAGCAUGGAACGAUUAUUGUUGACCUAAUCAACUGUUGGUUGUUGAAAUACCAAUAUGGUCUAGAUUAAAAGGAACAUUUGAGGGCGUUAGUACUUGGUGGCGAGGGGUGAAAUUCUUAGACCCAUCAAAGACUAACUAAUGCGAAAGCAUUCGCCAAGAGUGUUUUCAUUAAUCAAGAACGAAAGUUAGAGGUUCGAAGACGAUCAGAUACCGUCCUAGUUCUAUACAGUAAACUAUGCCAACAUGGGAUCAGUCCGGAACUAUCCAGGUUGGGCCCUCAGAGAAAUCUAGUGUUUAGGUCCCUGGGGGAGUGCACACGCAAGUGAGAAACUUGAAGAAAUUGACGGAAUGGCACCACCAGGAGUGGAGCCUGCGGCUUAAUUUGACUCAACACGGGGAAACUCACCAGGUCCAGACAUUGAUAGGAUUGACAGACUGAGAGAUCUUUCAUGAUACGAUGAUUGGUGGUGCAUGGCCGUUCUUAGUUGGUGGAGUGAUCUGUCAGGUUAAUUCCGGUAACGAGCGAGACCACGGUCUUUAAUUGAUUACUAAUAUAUAUUAAUGUCAUAUUAAAUCUUAAAGAGACAACCGGAUUUAAGCCGGGGGAAGCGUGGCAAUAACAGGUCUGUGAUGCCCUUCGAUGUUCUGGGCUGCACGUGCGCUACAAUGGUAGUAACAACAAGUUCCUGCUCUGAGAUGAGUGGGUAAUCUUUAAAAUUACUAUCUUGCUUUGGAUUGAGCCUUGUAAUAAUUGCUCAUGAAAGAGGAAUUCCUCGUAAGCGCGAGUCAUCAACUCGUGUUGAAUACGUCUCUGCCCUUUGUACACACCGCCCGUCGCUACUACCGACUGGAUGAUACUUCGAAGUGUUAGGACUGGUUGUUCUGCAAAGAAUGACUGGAAGAAGCCCUUAGAUGUACUAUCUGCAGGAAGUAAAAGUCGUAACAAGGUUUCCGUAGGUGAACCUGCGGAAGGAUCAUUAA